CCUACGGGAGGCAGCAGUGAGGAAUAUUGGUCAAUGGGCGCGAGCCUGAACCAGCCAAGUAGCGUGAAGGAUGAAUGCCCUACGGGUUGUAAACUUCUUUUGUAAAGGAAUAAAGUGAGGCACGUGUGCCUUUUUGUAUGUACUUUAUGAAUAAGGAUCGGCUAACUCCGUGCCAGCAGCCGCGGUAAUACGGAGGGUCCGAGCGUUAUCCGGAUUUAUUUGGUUUAAAGGGAGGGUGGAUGGGUUGUUAAGUCAGUUGGGAAAGUUUGGGGCUCAACCGGAAAAUUGCAAUUGAUACUGGCAGCCUUGAGUACAGUUGAGGUAGGCGGAAUUCGUGGUGUAGCGGUGAAAUGCUUAGAUAUCACGAAGAACUCCGAUUGCGAAGGCAGCUUACUAAACUGCCACUGACAUUGAUGCUCGAAAGUGUGGGGAUCAAACAGGAUUAGAUACCCUGGUAGUC
This 460-nucleotide ribosomal RNA is filed under the name uncultured bacterium. RNAcentral's name for it is "partial 16S ribosomal RNA". It matches the Rfam family "Bacterial small subunit ribosomal RNA", at positions 338 to 795 of the family's 1533-position model. The record is from RNAcentral.